UAAUGCUGCGCCAACAUACCUAUCCUCCCUCAUACACAAGUAUGUCCUGUCGAGACCCCUGCGCUCAGCUCAAGACCUACGUCUAUCCUCUGCCCGGAUCCCCACCUCUGAUGCUCGCCUUCAAGACUUCUCCAGGGCUGCACCUAUUCUGUGGAACUCCCUUCCCCCGUCAAUCAGACUUUCACCCAGCCUCCACUCCUCCAAAAAAUCUUUGAAAACUCACUUCUUCAUUAAAGCGUAUCAAUUAAACUGUCAGCAGGUUUCUAAUCCCCCACCCCAUGACUCCGUUCCUUCACCUGUCAAAAUUGACCUACCAAGCACUCAAUAAACCCUUCUGUAACAAACUAUUUAAUUCCCCUGCUUUAACCCUUUGUGUCACUCUACCCCACUCCCUCUAGCAUGUAAGCUCAUCGAGCAGGGCCUUCAACCCUCUCUGUUCUUGUAUGUCAGUGGUCUGAUCUCAAUUUUGUGUCUGUUAGUCCACCCAUUGCACAGCACUACGGAAUUUGUUGGCGCUAUAUAAAUAAUGGUCCUGAUAGUUUUCACAAUAUGACCAUUUGUUUGCAACUCACGCCAUCCAUUGACAUUCAUUGAAACUCUACUCUAGCCAGCUCAAAUUUGAAAGGCAAUUUCUAAACUGCGACUGUGCCUUCAUUGUUAAUAUUUCAGAGACAUACAAUGCAUCAAAAUGUAGGUCUGGGUCUUGUGAUUCUCACAAUAUAAAGCUCUUCGCUGUAGGAUUUAUAGUUUUUAAAAUACAAGUGUUUGAAGAUGGCAACCACCAGUUAAGUGAGCAAGUUGGAGCAGUUUGUUUUUAACCGCUCUUCUCUGCCCUAUUUGAAAUCUUAGUUCCUGUUGGCAGUUGGUGGAAUGUUCGAGAGAUUUGAAAUGGCGGCUGCAGAAACCCUGUGUAACAAGGCUGCAAUAUGAAGAUGCUGUUAUAUAUGGAUUAAUAAAGUGAGUACUUCGCUAUACAGGAAUUAUUGACUGAUUUGUACAAAACAUCACAGUGGCAGCAGGGAUAGCUGAAUGUUUUGAAAUAAAUUGGUAUAUUUAUAUCCCUCCAUGGCAAGACCACUUACUAUUAUCUCACAUAUAUUAUUAUUAUUAUUCUUAUUGAGCAAGUUGGAGCAGUUUGUUUUUAACCGCUCUUCUCUGCCCUAUUUGAAAUCUAUUAGUUCCUGUUGGCAGUUGGUGGAAUGUUCGAGGGAUUUGAAAGCUCUUCUCUGCCCUUGCUGUAGAGUGAGUGAACCACACUCCAACCUUUCCAGUUACUCCAUCCACUCAAGCUUAUAAAACCUGGACUUCUCUCUCACACAAAGACUUAUUUACCAUAAAUUUUUACAUCUUAACUCCACGUGCUGACAUCUAACUUACAAAUGAGCUCUGUUCCACACAUUGUAAAAGGGUCCCUGCUGUGUGGCGUGCGCUAUGAUGGGUUCGCCCGAGUCGGUCAGUGGAGGGAUCUGUGGUGUUCCCCUCGUGUCUCUUGAUGUUUUGUCUUGUGUGUUGGGAACAUAAUCGCUUGUGGGGUUCCUGUGGUUGUGGUCUCCCGUGUUUCCCCAUAUGGGGCCAUUUCCUGGAUGGUUCCAGCUGGCCCAUUUGGGUUGUAGCUUGUGUGUUGGG
RNAcentral lists this long non-coding RNA (1626 nucleotides) under Pelobates cultripes (western spadefoot toad). Lineage: Eukaryota; Metazoa; Chordata; Amphibia; Anura; Pelobatidae. The record is from RNAcentral.